This 21-nucleotide non-coding RNA is filed under the name Caenorhabditis elegans. The record is from RNAcentral. Lineage: Eukaryota; Metazoa; Nematoda; Chromadorea; Rhabditida; Rhabditidae.
CGAUCAACAUGUACACCUUUU